GCUUGCUGUUGUAUUAAUUUGCUUAAACUAAAACAUUGUGUUCAUUCAGACUCUUUGAAUGGCGCUUCUUCUUUGAAUGGCUCUUUGAAUCACAGUCUUGAUUCAAGUAUUAUUACUUCAGGAAUAAAAAUACUUUUUGUGUAAUUUGGAUAACAGCUCUCAUAGCAAAAGUGUCAUAAAGAGGUGCAUUAAGCUACAGGAACAUGUAGAAGCCAAUAAAUAACACAGUUUAAACAUUUUCAGAAGUAUUUCCGAACCACAUAAUUUUUCCCUUCUUGAGCAGUGACGUAGAAAAAAAUACAUUAAUUGGUCUGUGAAAUAAAAUUACUGCUAUAUAAUCGUGAUUGGCAUCGUAACUUUUAUCCGAUUUGAACAGCCAGCUUUAAUAGACACAUCAGUGGUAAGAAUUUUUGUCUUCCUUUCUCCAAGAUACUUUUCAUCCUCUUUAUCAAUGUCUAUCAUCACCGAUUUCAUGAAUCACAAUAAACUAAACUUCUAAUACUGAAUUUCUAUUUCUACUAACAUAGAAAAAUUAAGGGAUAUGUUAUUUUACUGUAUUGUUGUUGUUGUUUUUUUUUUAAUUACUAUUUUGUUUUGUUUCCUCCCCCCCCCAUCAAUGCAUUCAGGUAAACUUUCGGUAGUACAAACUUGGGUUGUCAGGUUGCCUGUAUUCUAGAAGAAGUAAAGAGAUAAAUGAACUAUUCUUGAGGUUCCUUUUUUUUUUUUUUUUUUUAAGUAGACUUUUAUGACCUUCUCUCAACAAACAAAGACCAUUCACAAUUUUCUUAUGAGUUUUCAGUGUCUCUUGGGGUAACCUACAAAGAUGUCAUACUUACUUCUAGUCCAACUGAUACAGCUUGGGACAGUGGCAAUGGACACUCAGUAAAUGACAGAAACUGAAGGAAGAUGGAGAUUGAAUUCAUGCUUCAUCACAUCCCAUAAAAGGCAAUUUUUCAAGUCCUAUGGCAACAUCUGCACUAGUUCAUGGAGAUGGAGAUGGAGAUGGAGAUGGAGAUGGAGAUGGAGAUGGAGAGAUCAUCCUUCUAAAACAGUAGUAAAGAAAAUAAGUGUACAGGUAGAUAGAACUAAUCUACUCAUCCAUUGUUGAGCUGCAAGAUUGAGAAAUAAAUUUAGUCUUCCUUUGAAUCAGACAAGACUGUUCUACAGCUGCAUUUUAAGAAAAUGUUGUGGAUAAUGAAAGAAGUCAUUUCUGACUGCUGGAGUGAUGUUGCAGAAAUUCUAAACUGCUCUCCAUCAUAUUUAAAAAAUCAAGACUGUCAAGUGAAAUCCCUGGUGACUGGAAAAAGGGAAACAUUACUCCAGUAAGUAAUGGGGGACCUGGGGAACUGCAGUCCUGUGAGCCUCACCUCUGUGCCUUUGAAUAUCAUGGAGCAGAUCCUCCUGGUUAUCAUCUUAUGGCACAUAUGAGAUGAUGAAAAGGUGAUCCUAGACAGCCAUCAUGGCUUCACCAAGGGUAUAACUUGUCUGAACAAUCUUGUGGCCUUCUAUGAUGGAGUGGCAGCAU
Molecule: long non-coding RNA, 1525 nt
Filed under: Meleagris gallopavo (turkey)
Lineage: Eukaryota; Metazoa; Chordata; Aves; Galliformes; Phasianidae
Description: lncRNA (ENSMGAG00000017619.1)
Source: RNAcentral